Molecule: ribosomal RNA, 464 nt
Filed under: uncultured bacterium
Lineage: Bacteria
Description: partial 16S ribosomal RNA
Rfam family: Bacterial small subunit ribosomal RNA
Source: RNAcentral
CCUACGGGUGGCAGCAGUGGGGAAUCUUCCGCAAUGGGCGAAAGCCUGACGGAGCAACGCCGCGUGAUCGAAUGAAGGCCUUCGGGUUGUAAAGAUCUGUUGACAGGGACGAAUAAGCAAUGCGAAUAGUUUUGUGUAUGACGGUACCUGUUUAGAAAGCUCCGGCUAACUACGUGCCAGCAGCCGCGGUAAUACGUAGGGAGCAAGCGUUGUCCGGAAUUACUGGGCGUAAAGGGCGCGUAGGUGGCACGGCAAGCCUGAUGUGAAAGCCCGCGGCCCAACCGCGGGACUGCAUUGGGAACUACCGGGCGGGAGUGCCGGAGAGGUAGGCGGAAUUCCUAGUGUAGCGGUGAAAUGCGUAGAUAUUAGGAGGAACACCAGUGGCGAAGGCGGCCUACUGGACGGUGACUGACGCUGAGGCUCGAAAGCGUGGGGAGCAAACAGGAUUAGAUACCCCAGUAGUC